RNAcentral lists this non-coding RNA (24 nucleotides) under Arabidopsis thaliana (thale cress). Lineage: Eukaryota; Viridiplantae; Streptophyta; Magnoliopsida; Brassicales; Brassicaceae. The record is from RNAcentral.
AUUACAAACUAUUAUUUCUUUGAC